CUUUGACAUUUUUCUUUAUGCAAUUUACCUAUCCACUCAAUAAUUUAUCCUGGGGAUGUUCAGCAUGAGAGAGAAAGAAUUCAGGAGUUUUCGAAACUGUUUUCAAAUAUAUGAAAGUUGUCAUGUGGAAGAAAAAUAAGCUAUUUUCUAUACACUUUUAAGAGGUAGAUCUAGAAUCAACAUAUAGAAGCUACUGGGAGACAGAUUUCAGCCCAAUCUGAGAAGAAAUUUUUAGCAAUUGGAGCUUUCCAAGCAUGGAAUGAUUUAUUUCUGGAAGUAGUGAGUCCCUCACUAGUGCGAUCAGUCAAGCAUAGGCUGAACAAACCUCUUUGCAGGCAUGAUGGAGGGGAUUCAAGCCUUGCAGGGUAAAGACCCUUAGUGUUUCUUCAAUGCUGAGAUUCUCCGGUUUUGCAGUCUGUUUUUCUUGCUGUCUAAAAAUAUGGGCCUUGUUUUGUGCCAUCCGCCACGUGGGAAGUGUGAAUAGUUAGCUUAACCCAAGAAACCUAAUUUUAAGUCUUUGUUUGAAUAUUACCUGUUUGAACUUGAGAACUGUUGAGACAUGACCUUUAUGGCUAACAACCUCAGAUAUUCUUGUAGGAAUAGCAUCUGUGAAAGAUUUUCAAAGUAAAGUGUCAGACUACUUGAGGGUAAUUGGAAGCAGGGACCUGUGUUCAAAUUCUGGCUCUGCCACUUUCUACGUUUCAAAGCUAUGUACAUCAGUUAACCUAUGAGCUUCAUUACCUGUAUCUCUAAAGUGGGACUAAUGCCAUCCUUAUAAGAUUAUUGCUAAUGGACAGCAAAAAUAACAACUAUGAAAAGGCCUACCUAGAGUAAUGCCUGGAGUAUACUAAGUCUCAGGAAAUAAUUGAAUUUGAGUAGGAAAUCAAAUGAGGUAAAUCCAAGGUAAUGUUAUUUUAAAUAAUCAUCAUGACCUGAGAUGAGAAUCUUUUCAUAAGACAUAACAAUGUGAUGAUCCGUGUUGUCUGUCAACUUGUACUUUCAUUUUUCUCCAUGUCAUUAGCUGAUUGUGUAU
Molecule: long non-coding RNA, 1033 nt
Filed under: Homo sapiens (human)
Lineage: Eukaryota; Metazoa; Chordata; Mammalia; Primates; Hominidae
Description: HSALNT0150413
Source: RNAcentral